This is a non-coding RNA of Bos taurus (domestic cattle), 72 nucleotides long. NCBI's taxonomy places the organism in Eukaryota, Metazoa, Chordata, Mammalia, Artiodactyla, Bovidae. The record is from Rfam.
UCCCUGGUGGCUUAGUGGUAAAGAAUCUGCCUGCCAAUGCAGGAGACAUGGGUUUGAUCCCUGAUCCGGGAA